This 301-nucleotide ribosomal RNA is filed under the name uncultured bacterium. RNAcentral describes it as "partial 16S ribosomal RNA". It matches the Rfam family "Bacterial small subunit ribosomal RNA", at positions 509 to 807 of the family's 1533-position model. The record is from RNAcentral.
CAGCCGCCGCGGUAAUACGAAGGGUGCAAGCGCUAAUCGGAAUUACUGGGCGUAAAGCGUGCGUAGGCGGUUUGUUAAGUCUGUUGUGAAAUCCCCGGGCUCAACCUGGGAAUGGCAAUGGAUACUGGCAAGCUAGAGUGUGUCAGAGGAUGGUGGAAUUCCCGGUGUAGCGGUGAAAUGCGUAGAGAUCGGGAGGAACAUCAGUGGCGAAGGCGGCCAUCUGGGACAACACUGACGCUGAGGCACGAAAGCGUGGGGAGCAAACAGGAUUAGAUACCCCAGUAGUCCCUGUCUCUUAUAC